Molecule: non-coding RNA, 647 nt
Organism: Cyanistes caeruleus (blue tit)
Lineage: Eukaryota; Metazoa; Chordata; Aves; Passeriformes; Paridae
Source: RefSeq, a predicted model, not a curated record
CAUACCAGCACUUUGGUGAGUCUCCUGGCUCAUGUGAGGACUGUGUUUUCCAGCCCUGGGUGGAACCAGCCAGGAGAGACUUGCUGAGAAUCCAUGCCUCAACAAGUGGUUCAAAAGAAGCCUGCUCAGGAAGAGACUGAAGAAACGUCCUCACAAGAGUCUGCAGAAGAAGACUAGGAGAUCACACCAUGCAAUUUCUACCUCAUCAGCAGUUGGGUCUUUUGAAGGGAGAAGACACUGCCUUGACCACUUACUUUCUAUUGCCAUGGUCUUUCCACUUUUGCCUGGGGGAAAAAAAAAAAUCACAUAACCUUAAAAAGGAUUCGACUAAUCAUCUUCUUUUGUAAUCCCUUCACAGUCCCAGGUCUAGUGAAAAACUGCUGUAACACAAAGGGGACACAGAUUAACGAUGCAACUUUUAAUUACUGUUUUCUUUUUUCCUAACCUACUAAUAGUUUGUUUGAGCUGCUAAGUAAGGGUGAAUGGGUCAAGAAGAGCUCCAAAUCAGGCUUAGGUCAUUGACUGCACUGCGUAUAAACAAGAAACUUGUAACAUAGUCAUUAUAAUGGGCAUUGAAAUAGGAAAGGCUGGGUGUGUAACACUUAUGCCUUGCAACACUUCCAGCAACCCACUCCCUACUUAGUGAA